This 101-nucleotide small RNA is filed under the name Salmonella enterica. RNAcentral describes it as "partial RtT sRNA". It matches the Rfam family "RtT RNA", at positions 26 to 130 of the family's 130-position model. From Rfam's summary of the family: This family represents a bacterial cis-regulatory element known as RtT RNA. The exact function of RtT is unknown although it is thought that it may be involved in changing the cellular response in relation to amino acid starvation. Lineage: Bacteria; Pseudomonadati; Pseudomonadota; Gammaproteobacteria; Enterobacterales; Enterobacteriaceae. RNAcentral also lists the same sequence under 2 other names. The record is from RNAcentral.
GAACCUGCCGCAGGUUCGGGUCGAACGCAGUGAGACAACGGAGCCGUUUACGGCGACGGCCCGAAGGGCGAGCGAAGCGAGUCAUCCUGCACGACCCACCA